This 1704-nucleotide ribosomal RNA is filed under the name metagenome. RNAcentral describes it as "bacterial LSU rRNA". It matches the Rfam family "Bacterial large subunit ribosomal RNA", at positions 1136 to 2925 of the family's 2925-position model. The record is from RNAcentral.
AAUAGCUCACUGGUCGAGCGUCUUUGCGCGGAGAAUUUAACGGGGCUAAACCUGACACCGAAGCUUAGGCAGCAUGUUUACAUGCUGGGUAGGGGAGCGUUGUAUACGCGGUGAAACAGUAGCGCAAGCGGCUGCGGAGUGUAUAGAAGUGAGAAUGCCGGAAUGAGUAGCGCGAAUGCAGUGAGAAUCUGCAUGGCCGAAAGCCUCAGGUUUCUGGAGGAAGGUUCGUCCGCUCCAGGUCAGUCGGGAGCUAAGGUGAGGCCUAACGGCGUAGCCGAUGCACAGACGGUAGAGAUUCCGUCACCACCAAAAGAGUUAAACACAGGGACACAUAUGAAGUCUCGGAGCCGGGUGUUGGUUCCGGUAGCGAUCGAGGGAAGUUAGUACCGAAGUCCGGGAUGGAAGAUGGCGAGAAAAGCUGUGUGAGUUUCUGCGGUGCCCGUACCGCAAACCGACACAGGUAGGUAGGAAGAAGAUUCUAAGGCCAACGGGAGAAGGGUUGUUAAGGAACUCGGCAAAUUGACCCCGUAACUUCGGGAGAAGGGGUGCUGCAGCAAUGCAGCCGCAGAGAAUCGGCCCAAGCAACUGUUUACCAAAAACACAGGUUUGUGCUAAAUCGAAAGAUGACGUAUACGAGCUGACGCCUGCCCGGUGCUGGAAGGUUAAGAGGAGAUGUGCAAGCAUUGAAUCGAAGCCCCAGUGAACGGCGGCCGUAACAAUAACGGUCCUAAGGUAGCGAAAUUCCUUGUCAGGUAAGUUCUGACCCGCAUGAAAGGCGUAAUGAUUUGGGCACUGUCUCAACAGCCCGCCCGGCGAAAUUGUAGUACCGGUGAAGAUGCCGGUUACCCGCGACAAGACGGAAAGACCCCAUGGAGCUUUACUGUAGCCUAAUAUUGGGUUUCGAUGUUGCAUGCACAGGAUAGAUGGGACACUGGGAAGCAGGUGCUUUGGCGCUUGUGGAGUGGCCGUUGGGAUACCAUCCUUGCGAUAUUGGAAUUCUAACCUGCGCCUUUGAAUCAAGGCGGGGGACAUUGUUAGGUGGGCAGUUUGACUGGGGCGGUCGCCUCCUAAAGAGUAACGGAGGCGUUCAAAGGUUCGCUCAGCUUGAACGGAAAUCAAGCAAAAGAGUGCAAACGCAGAAGCGAGCCUAACUGCGAGACUGACGGGUCGAGCAGUAACGAAAGUUGGAGUUAGUGAUCCGGUGGUAUGUGAGUGGAAAUGCCAUCGCUCAACGGAUAAAAGUUACCCUGGGGAUAACAGGCUGAUCUCCCCCAAGAGUCCACAUCGACGGGGAGGUUUGGCACCUCGAUGUCGGCUCAUCGCAUCCUGGGGCUGUAUUCGGUCCCAAGGGUUUGGCUGUUCGCCAAUUAAAGCGGUACGCGAGCUGGGUUCAGAACGUCGUGAGACAGUUCGGUCCCUAUCUGUCGUGGGCGCAGGAUAUUUGAUGGGAGCUGUUCCUAGUACGAGAGGACCGGAGCGGACGUACCUCUGGCGCACCAGUUGUUCUGCCAAGAGCAUAGCUGGGCAACUACGUACGGAUCGGAUAAACGCUGAAAGCAUCUAAGCGUGAAGCCGACCCAAAGAUAAGAUAUCCCAUUGUUUCAAACAAGUAAGACCCCUUGAAGACUACAAGGUUGAUAGGCACGAUGUGUAAGUGGAGCGAUCCAUUCAGCAAGCGUGUACUAAUAGGUCGAGGGCUUGACC